Molecule: ribosomal RNA, 274 nt
Filed under: uncultured bacterium
Lineage: Bacteria
Description: partial 16S ribosomal RNA
Rfam family: Bacterial small subunit ribosomal RNA
Source: RNAcentral
AUACGGAGGGUCCAAGCGUUAUCCGGAAUCAUUGGGUUUAAAGGGUCCGCAGGCGGUCAAUUAAGUCAGAGGUGAAAGCCCAUCACUCAACGAUGGAACUGCCUUUGAUACUGGUUGACUUGAGUUAUACGGAAGUAGAUAGAAUAAGUAGUGUAGCGGUGAAAUGCAUAGAUAUUACUUAGAAUACCGAUUGCGAAGGCAGUCUACUACGUAUAUACUGACGCUGAGGGACGAAAGCGUGGGGAGCGAACAGGAUUAGAAACCCUAGUAGUCC